UACGUAGGGUGCGAGCGUUGCCCGGAUUUAUUGGGCGUAAAGGGCGCGUAGGCGGCCACGCACGUCCGUUGUGAAAUCGCCCGGCUCAACUGGGCGGGGUCGGCGGAUACGGCGUGGCUGGAGCAAGCUAGGGGGCAAUGGAAUUCCCGGUGUAGUGGUGGAAUGCGUAGAUAUCGGGAGGAACACCAGUGGCGAAGGCGGUUGCCUGGAGCUUUGCUGACGCUGAGGCGCGAAAGCGUGGGGAGCGAACGAG
This 253-nucleotide ribosomal RNA is filed under the name uncultured bacterium. RNAcentral's name for it is "partial 16S ribosomal RNA". It matches the Rfam family "Bacterial small subunit ribosomal RNA", at positions 524 to 776 of the family's 1533-position model. The record is from RNAcentral.